Molecule: small nucleolar RNA, 107 nt
Filed under: Gossypium hirsutum (cotton)
Lineage: Eukaryota; Viridiplantae; Streptophyta; Magnoliopsida; Malvales; Malvaceae
Description: Plant small nucleolar RNA R71
Rfam family: Plant small nucleolar RNA R71
About the family: R71 is a member of the C/D box family of snoRNAs containing the C (UGAUGA) and D (CUGA) box motifs. Multiple nearly identical copies of this snoRNA have been identified in Arabidopsis, and it is thought to function as a 2'-O-ribose methylation guide for 18S ribosomal RNA.
Source: Rfam by way of RNAcentral
AUACCAUGGUGAUGGAACUUUCACAAUAACUCAUUGAAUCACUUCCAGGCCUCAUAUAAAGAUUAGUCAUCAAGUUGUUGGAAUAUGGUGAUUUCAUUUUGAAAUUU